RNAcentral lists this transfer RNA (76 nucleotides) under Virgisporangium aurantiacum. RNAcentral's name for it is "tRNA-Thr". It matches the Rfam family "tRNA". From Rfam's summary of the family: Transfer RNA (tRNA) molecules are approximately 80 nucleotides in length. Their secondary structure includes four short double-helical elements and three loops (D, anti-codon, and T loops). The record is from RNAcentral. Lineage: Bacteria; Bacillati; Actinomycetota; Actinomycetes; Micromonosporales; Micromonosporaceae.
GCCGACGUGGCGCAACUGGCAGCGCAAUCGACUUGUAAUCGAUAGGUUGCGGGUUCAAGUCCCGCCGUCGGCUCCA